UACGGGGGAGCAAGCGUUGUUCGGAUUUACUGGGCGUAAAGGGCGCGUAGGCGGCCACCGCAAGUCGACUGUGAAAUCUCCGGGCUUAACCCGGAAAGGUCAGCCGAUACUGCGGGGCUAGAGUGCAGAAGGGGCAACUGGAAUUCUCGGUGUAGCGGUGAAAUGCGUAGAUAUCGAGAGGAACACCUGCGGCGAAGGCGGGUUGCUGGGCUGUUGCUGACGCUGAGGCGCGACAGCGUGGGGAGCAAACAGG
Molecule: ribosomal RNA, 253 nt
Filed under: uncultured bacterium
Lineage: Bacteria
Description: partial 16S ribosomal RNA
Rfam family: Bacterial small subunit ribosomal RNA
Source: RNAcentral